ACGGGUGAGUAACGCGUGGGUAACCUGCCUCAUACAGGGGGAUAACAGUUAGAAAUGACUGCUAAUACCGCAUAAGCGCACAGGGCUGCAUGGCCCGGUGUGAAAAACUCCGGUGGUAUGAGAUGGACCCGCGUCUGAUUAGCUGGUUGGAGGGGUAACGGCCCACCAAGGCGACGAUCAGUAGCCGGCCUGAGAGGGUGAACGGCCACAUUGGGACUGAGACAUGGCCCAGACUCCUACGGGAGGCAGCAGUGGGGAAUAUUGCACAAUGGGGGAAACCCUGAUGCAGCGACGCCGCGUGAAGGAAGAAGUAUCUCGGUAUGUAAACUUCUAUCAGCAGGGAAGAAAAUGACGGUACCUGACUAAGAAGCCCCGGCUAACUACGUGCCAGCAGCCGCGGUAAUACGUAGGGGGCAAGCGUUAUCCGGAUUUACUGGGUGUAAAGGGAGCGUAGACGGAAGAGCAAGUCUGAUGUGAAAGGCUGGGGCUUAACCCCAGGACUGCAUUGGAAACUGUUUUUCUAGAGUGCCGGAGAGGUAAGCGGAAUUCCUAGUGUAGCGGUGAAAUGCGUAGAUAUUAGGAGGAACACCAGUGGCGAAGGCGGCUUACUGGACGGUAACUGACGUUGAGGCUCGAAAGCGUGGGGAGCAAACAGGAUUAGAUACCCUGGUAGUCCACGCCGUAAA
This 686-nucleotide ribosomal RNA is filed under the name uncultured bacterium. RNAcentral describes it as "bacterial SSU rRNA". It matches the Rfam family "Bacterial small subunit ribosomal RNA", at positions 102 to 806 of the family's 1533-position model. The record is from RNAcentral.